RNAcentral lists this ribosomal RNA (643 nucleotides) under uncultured bacterium. RNAcentral describes it as "bacterial SSU rRNA". It matches the Rfam family "Bacterial small subunit ribosomal RNA", at positions 492 to 1137 of the family's 1533-position model. The record is from RNAcentral.
GCCAGGCUAACUCUGUGCCAGCAGCCGCGGUAAUACAGAGGGUGCAAGCGUUAAUCGGAUUUACUGGGCGUAAAGCGCGCGUAGGCGGCUAAUUAAGUCAAAUGUGAAAUCCCCGAGCUUAACUUGGGAAUUGCAUUCGAUACUGGUUAGCUAGAGUGUGGGAGAGGAUGGUAGAAUUCCAGAUGUAGCGGUGAAAUGCGUAGAGAUUUGGAGGAAUACCGAUGGCGAAGGCAGCCAUCUGGCCUAACACUGACGCUGAGGUGCGAAAGCAUGGGGAGCAAACAGGAUUAGAUACCCUGGUAGUCCAUGCCGUAAACGAUGUCUACUAGCCGUUGGGGCCUUUGAGGCUUUAGUGGCGCAGCUAACGCGAUAAGUAGACCGCCUGGGGAGUACGGUCGCAAGACUAAAACUCAAAUGAAUUGACGGGGGCCCGCACAAGCGGUGGAGCAUGUGGUUUAAUUCGAUGCAACGCGAAGAACCUUACCUGGCCUUGACAUAGUAAGAACUUUCCAGAGAUGGAUUGGUGCCUUCGGGAACUUACAUACAGGUGCUGCAUGGCUGUCGUCAGCUCGUGUCGUGAGAUGUCGGGUCAGUCCCGGCAAGAAGCGCAACCUUUUCCUUUUUGGCCAGGAGUAUGUCGGAA